This 253-nucleotide ribosomal RNA is filed under the name uncultured bacterium. RNAcentral describes it as "partial 16S ribosomal RNA". It matches the Rfam family "Bacterial small subunit ribosomal RNA", at positions 524 to 776 of the family's 1533-position model. The record is from RNAcentral.
UACGUAGGGUGCGAGCGUUAAUCGGAAUUACUGGGCGUAAGGCGUGCGCAGGCGGUUUUGUAAGCCAGAUGUGAAAUCCCCGGGCUCAACCUGGGAAUGGCAUUUGGGACUACAAGGCUAGAGUGUGUCAGAGGGAGGUAGAAUUCCACGUGUAGCAGUGAAAUGCGUAGGGAUGUGGAGGAAUACCGAUGGCGAAGGCAGCCUCCUGGGAUAACACUGACGCUCAUGCACGAAAGCGUGGGGAGCAAACAGG